RNAcentral lists this long non-coding RNA (922 nucleotides) under Daucus carota (carrot). RNAcentral's name for it is "long non-coding RNA (DCAR_LNC006792)". The record is from RNAcentral. Lineage: Eukaryota; Viridiplantae; Streptophyta; Magnoliopsida; Apiales; Apiaceae.
AUUACUCUCAAUUUCUAUUACAAGUAUUCUGAUCCAUUCUUUCCAAUCCUCAAGAUUUUAAAAAUAUCAGCUUUACAAAUUAAUUCGAAGUUCAGACCGUCAUUGAAGCAUGGGUUACUCAGUGAUAGUUAGAACCUAGAAUGAGUUGGGAUCUUCUUGAUUAUUCAACCCGCCAUUGUCAUGCUGGUUUAGCAGGCUAAAUUCAGUUGCUUAGCCGAUAAUGGAGGAUACUGAAUAGUUAGGAAUUUCCUGAACUAUGAUUUAUCAAAAGACAGACUGUGGUUUAUGAAAUGUUGAUUCUCAAAAGUUGAUUUGGAAUAUUUCUGUUGUUGAUAAUGAUUAUGAUUCUGUUCUGUUGAUUGAAUUGUUUAUUGAUCUAAAUUGUUAGAAUUGGAUUAUUUUUUAUAAAAUAUGUGGACCAGAUUCGUGGUCAGACCAGAUUCGUGGUCAAUUAUAGGCCAAUGUGUGCUUUGGAUCCAGUAUAGAGAGCAGGGCUGUGUGCCAUGUUCGGGGUUAGUUUUGGAUCCAGUAUAGAGAGCAGGGCUGUGUGCCAUGUUCGGGGUUAGUGCGUGACUGAUCAGCAGCCUAACCUUUGGUUUUUAAGUAAAAAUGUGAUGAAUCCAAUUCGACAAUUCCUCUGUAAGUUUGAAUUCUGAUUUCAAUUGCUGAUAAGAAUUGUGAAGUUUUCAAUUACAUUUCCUGAACUUGUGAACCCUGAUAAGAUAUUUCAGGACUAUUGUUGCUUAUAUACACUUGCUGAGCAUUGUUGCUCACCAUUGCUAUUCCUUUUUAACCAUUUCAGAAAGGCUUAGAGAUGAAUUGCUUGAUUGAGAUUGCGAGUAUGGCUAAGGCUAAGCGAGGAGUCAGAGUUAUAGAAUAUCCAGAGGACAAGUGGAAUGUCCAGGGAGAUUGUCAAGGUUGG